CGUCACUUCCGACACCGGCUCCCGGGCGUGUGCGCCGCUCCUCCUGCAGCCGCGGUCGGUAAUGCCGAGCCGGGUGAGUGGAGUCAGAGAGAGUCUCACGGAGGGAAUCCGAGAGGAUGUGGGGCCAGCAACAUGGAAGGGGAAGGUGGGAAGCCUGCGGCUGUUGUCGCGGUUGUGACUGAGCCUCGGUUUACCCAGCGAUACAGGGAGUAUCUCGAGAAGCAGAAACUCCUGGAUAGACGGCACCGGGUAGAAAAGAUGCCGGAUGGCACGGUGGCGCUGCCCGUGCUGGGAGAGACUCUCCCUGAGCAGCACCUUCAAGAGCUGAGGGAUCGUGUGGCUCCAGGCAGCACCUGUAUAGUAACGCAGCUCCUGGAUCCUGUUCCCUCAAAGAAGGCCCAAGGUUGUUCACCUGCCCAAAGGCUGUGUCUUGAAGUGAGUCGCUGGGUAGAGGGCCGGGGAGUGACGUGGUCACCUCAGUUGGAGGCUGAUUUGCCCAGAUCUUGGCAGCGACAUGGUGACCUCUUGUUGCUGAGCGAGGACUGUUUCCAAGCCAAGCGAUGGAAAAAUCUGGAACCAGACCUCUGGGAGACUGUUGCGUCUGCACUUGGCGUCCAUCGUGUGGCCAAACGAGGGCGGGUAUCACCAGACGGCACUCGAACACCAGCAGUGACUCUGCUGCUGGGCGACCAUGGCUGGGUAGAGCAUGUGGAUAAUGGGAUCCGAUAUAAGUUUGACGUGACCCAGUGCAUGUUCUCCUUCGGAAACAUCACUGAGAAGCUUCGAGUGGCAUCGCUGCCCUGUGCUGGAGAAGUGCUGGUGGAUCUCUAUGCAGGGAUUGGUUAUUUUACAUUGCCCUUCCUAGUCCAUGCUGGUGCUACCUUCGUCCAUGCCUGUGAGUGGAACCCCCAUGCUGUAGUUGCUCUGAGAAAGAACCUUGAUGUCAAUGGAGUGGCAGAUCGGUGCCAAAUACACUUUGGGGAUAACAGAAAACUGAAGCUCUCAAACAUUGCGGACAGGGUGAACCUGGGACUGAUUCCCAGUUCUGAAGAAGGCUGGCCCAUUGCCUGCCAAGUGCUAAGACGGGAUGCAGGGGGCAUUUUGCAUAUCCACCAAAAUGUGGAAUCUUACCCAGGCAAGAAUCUCCAGCCUCCUGGAAGCAGUGAAGUGGAGAAGGAGCAUCGGCCUUAUCCUCAGCAAAUUAUCACCAACCAAUGUACAAAUGGAGCAACCACGGGUUCUAGGAGAAGAACGCUGUCAGCAGCCACCAAACCAGAGUGGCAGAGGUGGGCGGAAUCUGCAGAAACUCGUAUUGCCACCCUUCUUCAGCAGGUGCACGGGACACCAUGGAAGACACAAAUCCUGCACAUCCAACCAGUGAAAUCCUAUGCUCCCCACGUGGAUCAUAUAGUGUUGGAUUUGGAAUGCCGCCCCUGUCCUCUAGUUGGCUAGAGAAGGUGGAUCCUGAGCCACAAGGAUCUACAUGCUCUAGAUCAGUACAAGUCAUCUUGUUUGUCUUCCGUUAACACAUUGAGAACGAACUACAUAUCUGGGAGAAGCAGUAUGGCUUAUUGAGAUGAGGCCUGUACAAUGAAUUCUGACCUCAGUCCUGUCUUACCUUGGGCACUGUGAUGAGGGCCAGAGACACAGAGUUUUCUCCAAGCACUUGCUGGAUUGGCCUGGUCAGGAAGAGGCAUCUAAUGGAACCAAGGAAAAAAGACUGAAAGGAUCAGGAGGCUCAUGGAGUGUUUGUCACCUCAGUCCAGGAAUGUGUGCUGAAGGCUUCCUUUGUGAGCGUCAGUAUUAGUGGCCGGGUAAGGCACCCACUUGAUGGAGAGGUUGUGAUUAAAAAACAGUAAUGAUAAUUUUAUUAAACUCCCUCAACCGUGAGUUGCUUGGUUCAUUAACUUCAUAAUUUAAAUAAAUUGUGUGCAUAUAUUGAUAUAGAGUAUAACAUAUACGUUUUAAACAUAAAAACAUUUAAAAUGAUGGCAAAUACAUAGCAUUUUUAAUUCACUUUCUCCCACCUGGGCACACCCAAUAUAUGUUAUUCUGAACAGCCUCAGGGUGCAACCACUUCAAAUUGGGCAAGCCAUAAAACCGGUCAUUUUCUUGGCCUUUGGUAGUUUCCUUUUGUGUGUACUGUGUGUACUGAUCAUUACUCAGCUGCUACUUUAGGGGAAUGGUCAGCAGAUGUCUGGAGUUCUCUGUAGCUCUCUCCACUCUGGCAUUCUACUCUCUGGACUCAUUCCUGGGUUCCUAGGACUCCCUGUUCCAUCUCCACCUCAGGGAGUCUCCUGGGCUCCACCUGGCUUCCCCCUCAAGCCACAGCCCAGAAACUUUCUCCAGGCAGUAAGAUGGAGCAGUUCAGUGGCUCACCUUGUGGGUUUGCAUCUCCCAUGGAUCAUUGUCCAUUGCCUAUGUCCAGUACCUUGAGCGGGUUGUUCAUGUGUUUUGUGUAACUUUUUUUUUUAAAACUAUUUAGAAGUUUAUAAUAAGUGUAUAAAUUUACUAGCUUUCACAAUCAUUGAAGAAAUUCACUCUAGCAAUAAUAAAUAUAUACAAGUACUUAAGCUGACACAAGAUUUCAACAUAUAAAGCACAUAAAAAUUUCUUACCACUAUUGUGCUUAGAAUCCCUACCUAUAUUAUAAACUGAAUAUAAAAAUAUUAACAAUAAAUACAAUGGCAUCUUUCUGAUUUGAUAUGAUAAUACUUGCCAGGUUACUCGAUCAACAACCACAUAAUUUCAGAGAGGCCAAAAACUGUCAGAAUAGCUACUUGUCUCUUUGGCUUUUUAAAGGUCAAGGUUGAAUCAGAGGCAAAUAGAAAAUAAUGAAUAUGAGGUUAAAACUGUAUUUUGGUACAUACCACAGACACACCACACAUACAUACCACACAUGAAUACCCACACACACCCCACACGUAUCAUAUUGUCUCCUGGAUUGAAUGGCCCAUGCAAUAAAGAUGCACGUACACCAUUAGGUAGAUAGAUAUAGAUGGGUAGAUUGUCCUAGUUUCUCUUUUAGUAAUUGAAUUUUAUUUUUUUAAAUCAAAGCUAUAUAUAUGCAUAGUUUCAUAACUCAAGUAAAGGUAACACAACUUUAUGAAUAAGACUGCACUUCCACAACACCACAAUGAAGCAACUAUAUCCCCCUCUCCUCAUUUUUGGGUCUACUUUGAACAAUUUCAACUGGGCCCAUGUGUCAAAGGGGAUGUAGGAUCUAACCAACAUAUACUACCAGGAGCCAUGGAACCUGGGUCCUGAGAGCUGGCUAAGAUGCAGUUUGCAUUCAUGUAGGACUCCACUCUCCCAUCAUAAUAUGGUCUGAGGAGAUCUAGACCAUCUGAACAUCCCACAGAAUAUCACGCUAACCUACUAUAUUUAUAGCAUCAUAUUAAUUAGGUCAGAUAAACAAUAAGCUAGUGUGUUACACUCCAAAGAUGGAAAAUAAUCACUAAUACAGUCCAGCAACCUGUUACAAUAGUGAAAUUUUUAGGGCUGCUGGUCUGCUUGAAUGCUAAGAUAUCUCCUUCACAGUAAAGAAUAAGUUUUUGCAUCUCUCCCACACAUCAAUACUCCUGGAUGACAAGAAAGGCCAGAGGAAAUGAACAGGUAGCACAGGCAGGUGGCCCAGACUCCUGUGUCAUAUUUAUAACUCUUGCAUCAGUGCCUUCCCUCAGCUCACAAUUAUGGCCACUUGAGAGGCUCUUCUGUCUUGCUGAUGAAGGACAGAAAUGCACAGCUAAGUUAAUUGAUAGGUUUUCUUGGAAUAUGGGUUCAAACAAAAAAAUAGACUGCUGCUACCCUACAGCCCUCUUCAGAAGUGAGGGGAGUCCUCCCAAAAGGCAAAAUUGGCAAUAUUUCUGGUUCUCCACUUUGUAUGGAAAGAGAAGUGGCCUGAAGUAAGAAUAUACCUUUAUGGCAAAUGUCAGAUAGGUUGACGAGUUGAUCAGGGCCCUGGAGUGGGAAAGAUUAGAUCAGGGACAAGGAAGCCGGGAGAAGAGGCAGUGGAAAAAUCUCUGGGAUUGGAACAUGAGUAAACAUCUUUGUAUUGCAGAACAGUGCCUACCAGAGACCUGCACCGUGCAAGAGGAACUGAACAAGUAAACAAAAAGACUUGGCCAGUUAAUUUUAGCAGUUGUAGUCAUGAGCUACCCCAAUAGCAUAAUGGGCUCAUGAAUAAAGUCAUGUUCAGGGAUGUAGGUUAUCAAGAUGCCAACAGCAUGGCCUCUACUCACCAAGGAGCCACUCCCUAGUAUUCAGUACUGAGCCCUUGGAACAACACCAUCCCUCAAGGAAAACAAACAGCUAAUUGGUAGCAAGUGGAUUACAUUGGACUUUGGUCACAGAAGGGCAGUGAUUCACUUUGACCAGAAUCUUCCCAUCUGCAUGUAUGAGUUUGCCUUUUCUGCCCACAAGAUGUUGGCCAGCAUCACUAUCCAAGGGCUUACAAGUGUGUGAUCCAUCUGUAUGUAUCCUACGUAAUAUUGCCUCUGACCUAGGGAUCUGAUUUACAGCAAAGGUGUUUCAGUGGACACAUGACCAUGUGACUCACCAGUCCUAUCACAUCCUAGAAAAUGCUGGCCUGGUAGAGUGGUGGAAAAACUUUUUGACACCAGACCAAAGCUUGGAGAUAAUGCCCAGUGAAUGAGAUGCCAUCCAUCAGGAUGCAGUAUACACUCUAAACACCUAUUACAUAGUCCAUGUCCCAUAUAGAUAGAAAAUGCACAGCUAGGACUGAAAGGGUAGAAAUAGGAGAAUUCCUACUAUGGUGGGCUACAUAAUGCCUCCCCCAAAUAUGUCCAUGUUCUGUAAAUAUGUUAUCUUACAAGGUAAAAGGGACUUUGCAGAUGUGAUUAAGAAUCUCAAAAUGGGGGGGGGGGGCGCCUGGGUGGCUCAGUCGUUAAGCGUCUGCCUUCAGCUCAGGUCAUGAUCCCAGGGUCCUGGGAUCGAGCCCCGCAUCGGGCCUCCCUGCUCUGCGGGAGGCCUGCUUCUCCCUCUCCCACUCCCCCUGCUUGUGUUCCCUCUCUCGCUGUCUCUCUCUCUGUCAAAUAAAUAAAAUAAAAUCUCUAAAAAAAAGAAAAAGAAUCUCAAAAUGGGGAAGGUAUCCUGGAUUAUCCAGGUUGGCCCAAUAUAAUCUCAGAGGUCCUUAUGAGAGGGAGGUAAUACAAGUAGGAGGAGGUGUGAUGACUGAAGCAGGAUGCAGUAAUGUAAGGAAGGGGCCACAAGCCAAGGAAUGCAGGCAGCCUCUGGAAACUGAGAAAGGCAGGGAAAUGGAUUCUGCCCCAGGAUGCUUCAGGAGGAACAGAGUUGUUGACACCGUGAUUGUAGACUUCUGACCUCCAUAACUGAGAAUAAAUUUAUGCGGUUUCAAGCCACUAAGUUUGUGGUUAUUUGUUACAGCAGCAAUAGGAAGGUAACACACCCACUUCCUGUCCCCACAGGCCCACCCACGGAGUUUGUGCCUCCCAUCCCCACAACUUUGUGAGACUAGAGGGCUGGUUCCUAAUUGGGGAACUGUUUCAUCAGGAGAUAAAGUAAUAGACCCUUUAAGCUUUAACCUACUGAAGUUUCCCAGUCACAUCAGGCUCCUUGUGCUUAAGAGACCAGCAGGCGAGGAGGAGUCCCCAUUCUGGGUGGGGAUAAGUGAAUGGGAUCAUGAGGAGGAAGUAGGGUUAUUGUCAUGAUUGUCACACAGGGAGGGCAGGAAGGCGUAUAUUUCAUGCUUACUCCAUCCACCAGGGCGUCUCUUGACACUUCCCUACCCAAUGUCAAGAGUAAAAUGAGCAACUUCCAAAACGAUGGAAUAAGGACCUCUGAAAACUGGCCUCUCCAUAAAAGCAAUAAGAACACUGGCAAAAAUUGUCAAAAUCAACAUUUUUUUUUUUUUAGAACUCUAGAAACUAAAGGCUUGCCACAAUCUGAAGAGCAUUUAUUUUAAAAACUGCUAAAUCUUGAUUAAAAAGGGCAGCUUCUGGCAUUCUAACAUGUCCUAUUCCUGCCCCCCCAUCUCUAAUACAAGUUAAAUUGUUCUUAACUGUAGGGAGAAUGCUUCCAGGAUCAUUCACCCUUAAGUGAUAUGCAGCCUUUGUUAGACCCAUUAUAUUGCUGUUUUUUUUUUAUCCUGCACUGUAGUGACACUUUUAUCAUAAAUCAGGUGACCGUAUAUGUGGGGCUGUUUCUAGACUACCUUGUUCCACAGUCCGUUUUUCUAUCCAAGCACCAAUACCAUCCUGUUUAAAUUACUCUAUCUUUACAAUAGGUCCUGAUAUCUGAUACUGUAUGUCCUUCAACUCUGUUCUUUAAGAUUCCCUUAUUCUUGACCUUUUGCAUUUUCUUAUGAAUUUUAAAAUCAGCUUGUCAA
Mirounga angustirostris (Northern elephant seal) is the source of this 6367-nucleotide RNA transcript. It is a transcript of the gene named tRNA methyltransferase 12 homolog, with no coding region annotated. NCBI's taxonomy places the organism in Eukaryota, Metazoa, Chordata, Mammalia, Carnivora, Phocidae. The record is from RefSeq and is a predicted model, not a curated record. The transcript is spliced from 4 exons.